This 251-nucleotide long non-coding RNA is filed under the name Mustela putorius furo (domestic ferret). RNAcentral describes it as "lncRNA (ENSMPUG00000030363.1)". Lineage: Eukaryota; Metazoa; Chordata; Mammalia; Carnivora; Mustelidae. The record is from RNAcentral.
CGAAGACAGAUUGUAUGGUUACGGAUAUGGAGAGGAAAACAACUGAGGUACAGGAAGAGAGACAGGAAACACUUCUGGCCGGGCUACACGUUUUAAGGAUUCCUCACCUGUGUUCUCUAGAAAAAAUCUGGAGUGAUUUUGAAGUAUAGAUGUAACCAUCAGCUCCACUGUUCCAUCAAUGUUUGGGGAUCGGAUGAUGGAUCAAAGUUCAAGAAAAGGAAAACAGAAGGUAGAGGAAUAAUGUUCCUGAC